GACGAGGGGUGCAAGCGUUAUUCGGAAUUAUUGGGCGUAAAGGGUGUGUAGACGGUGCCUUAAGUCUAUUGUUAAAUCUCCUGGCUUAACCAGGAACAGGCGGUAGAUACUGGGGUGCUAGAGGGUGGAAGAGAGAAGUGGAAUUCUCGGAGUAGCGGUAAAAUGCGUAGAUCUCGAGAGGAACACCAAUGGCGAAGGCAGCUUCUUGGUCCAUUUCUGACGUUGAAACACGAAAGCGUGGGGAGCAAACAGG
This 253-nucleotide ribosomal RNA is filed under the name uncultured bacterium. Its description in RNAcentral is "partial 16S ribosomal RNA". It matches the Rfam family "Bacterial small subunit ribosomal RNA", at positions 524 to 776 of the family's 1533-position model. The record is from RNAcentral.